RNAcentral lists this non-coding RNA (23 nucleotides) under Rattus norvegicus (Norway rat). Lineage: Eukaryota; Metazoa; Chordata; Mammalia; Rodentia; Muridae. The record is from RNAcentral.
CAAAAUGAGUUACAAAUUCAACA